AGCUUUGCGCAGUGGCAGUAUCGUAGCCAAUGAGGUUUAUCUGAGGCAAGGUUAUUGCUAAUUGAAAAUAUGGAGAUAUUCCACUGGCAUUUGCUUUGUCCCUACUUUAGCAGUUACCAAAGUUC
RNAcentral lists this small nuclear RNA (125 nucleotides) under Mus caroli (Ryukyu mouse). Its description in RNAcentral is "predicted gene, 25176 (MGP_CAROLIEiJ_G0035121.1)". It matches the Rfam family "U4 spliceosomal RNA", at positions 1 to 120 of the family's 138-position model. Rfam says of the family: U4 small nuclear RNA (U4 snRNA) is a component of the major U2-dependent spliceosome. The structure of U4 snRNA from yeast and human has been reported. Lineage: Eukaryota; Metazoa; Chordata; Mammalia; Rodentia; Muridae. The record is from RNAcentral.